RNAcentral lists this ribosomal RNA (433 nucleotides) under uncultured bacterium. RNAcentral's name for it is "partial 16S ribosomal RNA". It matches the Rfam family "Bacterial small subunit ribosomal RNA", at positions 29 to 507 of the family's 1533-position model. The record is from RNAcentral.
AACGAACGCUGGCGGCAUGCCUAACACAUGCAAGUCGAACGAGACCUUCGGGUCUAGUGGCGCACGGGUGCGUACCGCGUGGGAACCUGCCCUUAGGUUCGGAAUACCUCCCCGAAAGGGGUGCUAAUACCGGAUAAUGUCUUCGGACCAAAGAUUUAUCGCCUUUGGAUGGGCCCGCGUUGGAUUCGCUAGUUGGUAGGGUAAAAGCCUACCAAGGCCACGAUCCAUAGCUGGUCUGAGAGGAGGAUCAUCCACACUGGGACUGAGACACGGCCCAGACUCGUACGGGAGGCAGCAGUGGGGAAUAUUGGACGAUGGGCGAAAGCCUGAUCCAGCAAUGCCGGGUGAGUGAUGAAGGCCUUAGGGUUGUAAAGCCCUUUUACCCGGGAUGAUAAUGACAGUACCGGGAGAAUAAGCGCCGGCUAACUCCGUG